GUACCUGUAGCUCAGUCGGUAGAGCGGGAGACUGAAAAUCUCCGCGUCGGUAGUUCAACUCUGCCCAGGUGCA
RNAcentral lists this transfer RNA (73 nucleotides) under Candidatus Brocadiales bacterium. RNAcentral describes it as "tRNA-Phe". It matches the Rfam family "tRNA". From Rfam's summary of the family: Transfer RNA (tRNA) molecules are approximately 80 nucleotides in length. Their secondary structure includes four short double-helical elements and three loops (D, anti-codon, and T loops). Further hydrogen bonds mediate the characteristic L-shaped molecular structure. tRNAs have two regions of fundamental functional importance: the anti-codon, which is responsible for specific mRNA codon recognition, and the 3' end, to which the tRNAs corresponding amino acid is attached (by aminoacyl-tRNA synthetases). tRNAs cope with the degeneracy of the genetic code in two manners: having more than one tRNA (with a specific anti-codon) for a particular amino acid; and 'wobble' base-pairing, i.e. permitting non-standard base-pairing at the 3rd anti-codon position. Lineage: Bacteria; Pseudomonadati; Planctomycetota; Candidatus Brocadiia; Candidatus Brocadiales. The record is from RNAcentral.